This 912-nucleotide ribosomal RNA is filed under the name Triticum aestivum (bread wheat). RNAcentral's name for it is "partial small subunit ribosomal RNA". Lineage: Eukaryota; Viridiplantae; Streptophyta; Magnoliopsida; Poales; Poaceae. The record is from RNAcentral.
AUGGACAUGUCGGCCAGCUUCUCCGCCGAGGACUUCUUCCCCAACGCCGUCGGCCGCCUCCUCGACCGGCUCGCCGGCAUAGUCGCGCGCAGGGAGAGGAUCUUCAGAGACCUCGACAGCUUCUUCGAGGCAGUACUGGAGCAGCACCUGCACCCCGCAUGCCCCAAGCCGGAGAGCGGCGGCGGCGACCUGGUGGACGCCCUCAUCAGAAUCUGCGAGGAGCACGGCUUCACGAGGGACCACGUCAAGGCUGUCCUCCUGGACGCGUUCCUCGGCGGCGUCGAUACGAGCUCGGUGACGAUCCUGUGGGCGAUGUCGGAGCUGAUCCGGAAGCCGCAAGUUCUGAAGAAAGCGCAGGAGGAGAUCAGGGCCGUGGUCGCCGGCAACGGCAACAACGAGCAGCGGGUGCAGCCGGGCGACCUGCCGAAGCUGACCUACCUGAAGAUGGUUGUCAAAGAGACCCUGCGGCUUCACCCGCCGGUGACGCUGCUUCUGCCGCGGGAGACGCUGCGGCGGGUGGAGAUCGGCGGCUACGACGUGUCAGCGGGGACGCGGGUGCUGGUGAACGCGUGGGCCAUCGGGCGGGACCCCGCGAGCUGGGGCCAGGACGCGGCGGAGUUCCAGCCGGAGAGGUUCGAGUCCGGCGGGAGGCACGGCGAGGUGGACUUCCGCGGUGCUCACUUGGAGCUGAUGCCGUUCGGCGCCGGCCGGCGAAUCUGCCCCGGACUGGCCAUGGGGGUGGCGAACGUGGAGUUCACGUUGGCCAACAUGUUGUACGGCUUCAAGUGGGAGCUGCCGGAGGGGAUGGUGGCGGAGAAGCUGGGCAUGGAGGAGGCCGGCAGACUGACUUUCCACCGCAAGACGCCGCUGGUGCUCCUGCCCACCCCAUACGUACUGCCGAGAGCUGGCUAG